RNAcentral lists this unclassified non-coding RNA (1592 nucleotides) under Hevea brasiliensis (rubber tree). The record is from RNAcentral. Lineage: Eukaryota; Viridiplantae; Streptophyta; Magnoliopsida; Malpighiales; Euphorbiaceae.
CGCCAUUCGUUGGCAAACAAUUUUCCGUGAAACAGAAAACUCCCAAUUGCAGCCUCUCGCUCACAAAUCCAAGGGCCACUGACUAAGGCGCAGCUGGCCGCCGCCGCCGCAGGUAGAUCGCCACUCUUUUGCUGCGACUUUCGCGUGUAAGCUGCAGAUUUCUCUUUCUCUCUCUUAAUCUCUCUUCAUUACUUGAUACGGUUAUUUAAUCUCGGGUUUGAUCUUUUACUUUAGAGCAUGCAUGGAACAGAUUUUAUUAAUUUGUUUAGUUGUUUCAGUUAGAAGUAAUUUAAUUAAAUUUUCGAAACCAUUCAGAGGUUUUAGUCUUUCCAGUAUGAUACUCUGACUGGAUUUGUUCGUUUCUGGCUUAAAAGCUGAAGUGUAGCUCUUUGAUCCCUUGAAAAGAAUCGUCAGGCUUGUAACUUAGUUUAAAAUUCAGAUUAAAUUUGUGAUUCAGAAUAAUCUGAGUGCAAAGAAAGAAAAGCGGUUUCUAUCUCAUAGGAAUGAUCUGAUUUGAGAAUUAUUUUGUUAAUCGUAUCAAUUUUUUGUUCCCUGUGAACAAAGGAUGCUUUUUGGCUGGAGGAAAUAAGCUCACGAACAAUAUGCUUGGGUUGAGGGAAUAAAUGUAUGUUAAUGCUACUAUUAAUAUGAAAAUUUUACUUCAUAGGAUGCCCAGUGAAGCAACUGUUCCCUAACUACUAACAUAAGUAGGAUGAACAUUGAUUCAUUCAAGUAAAAAAAAAUUGACAUUGGUGUUUGAAGAAAUUAGAUUUUCUGUAUGUUUCUUUUUUCUAAUGUCUGUCAUUCUUUAAACUAGAUUGACAAAUUGCGAAAAGAUCAUUGACAUGAAUAUAAGCUACAAGGUGUAGCCUGUCAAACUACAUAAGUACAACUGUAUAGGUUGUUUUAAUUUGACUGAUUGAAUUACUGAUAUUGAAUAUAAAGUAUUUAGGAGGUGUGAACUGUGAAGCAAUAAGCAGAAUUGUUUAGCCAUUCAAAGAUCGGCAAUAAAUAGUUCCACUAAGAAAAGCUUGCAUGUUAUGCCGAUUUAAGAAGAGAGGCAAAUGAAUUUCCAGCGAACUACAGUUCCCAAUGCAGAGAAACAAGUAUGAAAUAUUUUUUAAACAAUGCAAUGGUAAAGAAAAUUUAGAAACUGUGUUCUGAUGAUUAAAGAGUUGGGGCAGUGAGGUUUUCUUGUUUGAAUUCUGAUAUAAUGCUUUUGAAUAAAUUUCUUCGAGCAGGUUUACAUCUUAUAUUUUCCCCUUUUUAUUUUUGGCCUUCGAGGUGUCCCAAGGAGGGUGAGCUGAAGAGGCCUAGAAGUUCAGUAUUUACAAAUAGUUUUCAAGGCAGAUUUAUCCUGAAAAACACUCAAUUUGAACCCUGCGUAUUUCAUUUUUUUAUGAUGGGUCUGACUAUGGCAUAUUAGGCCCUACUUCUGUUAAAGACUCAUAAAAUGCAUUGUAUUAAAUCUAAUAAUGUGCCCUUUUUCUUUGUUUCUUUUCUUUUUUUUUUUUUUUCUUUCUUUUCUUUUAUGUCUUUAGGAAGACCACAAAUUUUAAUUAAAUAAAUUUUAAUUAUAAUAAUUAUUGCAG